Molecule: ribosomal RNA, 439 nt
Filed under: uncultured bacterium
Lineage: Bacteria
Description: bacterial SSU rRNA
Rfam family: Bacterial small subunit ribosomal RNA
Source: RNAcentral
AACGCGAAGAACCUUACCUACCCUUGUAUCCACGGAAUUUUGCAGAGAUGCAGAAGUGCCUUCGGGAACCGUGAGACAGGUGCUGCAUGGCUGUCGUCAGCUCGUGUCGUGAGAUGUUGGGUUAAGUCCCGUAACGAGCGCAACCCUUGUCCUUAGUUGCCAGCGAUUAGGUCGGGAACUUUAAGGAGACUGCCGGUGACAAACCGGAGGAAGGCAGGGAUGACGUCAAGUCCUCAUGGCCUUUAUGGGUAGGGCCACACGCGUGCUACAAUGGGUGUUACAAAGGGCAGCGAACCUGCGAAGGUAAGCCAAUCCCAAAAAAGCACUCGUAGUCCGGAUUGGAGUCUGCAACUCGACUCCAUGAAGCUGGAAUCGCUAGUAAUCGCAAAUCAGAAUGUUGCGGUGAAUACGUUCCCGGGCCUUGUACACACCGGAGUGC